RNAcentral lists this ribosomal RNA (435 nucleotides) under uncultured bacterium. RNAcentral's name for it is "partial 16S ribosomal RNA". It matches the Rfam family "Bacterial small subunit ribosomal RNA", at positions 29 to 507 of the family's 1533-position model. The record is from RNAcentral.
AACGAACGCUGGCGGCAUGCCUAACACAUGCAAGUCGAACGAUUGCCUUCGGGUGAUAGUGGCGCACGGGUGCGUAACGCGUGGGAAUCUGCCCUUAGGUUCGGAAUAACAGCUGGAAACGGCUGCUAAUACCGGAUGAUAUCGCGAGAUCAAAGAUUUAUCGCCUGAGGAUGAGCCCGCGUUGGAUUAGGUAGUUGGUGGGGUAAAGGCCUACCAAGCCGACGAUCCAUAGCUGGUCUGAGAGGAUGAUCAGCCACACUGGGACUGAGACACGGCCCAGACUCCUUCGGGAGGCAGCAGUGGGGAAUAUUGGACAAUGGGCGCAAGCCUGAUCCAGCAAUGCCGUGUGAGUGAUGAAGGCCCUAGGGCUGUAAAGCUCUUUUACCCGGGAAGAUAAUGACUGUACCGGGAGAAUAAGCCCCGGCUAACUCCGUG